RNAcentral lists this ribosomal RNA (460 nucleotides) under uncultured bacterium. Its description in RNAcentral is "partial 16S ribosomal RNA". It matches the Rfam family "Bacterial small subunit ribosomal RNA", at positions 338 to 795 of the family's 1533-position model. The record is from RNAcentral.
CCUACGGGAGGCAGCAGUGAGGAAUAUUGGUCAAUGGACGAGAGUCUGAACCAGCCACGUAGCGUGAAGGAUGACUGCCCUAUGGGUUGUAAACUUCUUUUAUAUGGGAAUAAAAUGUUCCACGUGUGGGAUUUUGUAUGUACCAUAUGAAUAAGGAUCGGCUAACUCCGUGCCAGCAGCCGCGGUAAUACGGAGGAUCCGAGCGUUAUCCGGAUUUAUUGGGUUUAAAGGGAGCGUAGGUGGAUUGUUAAGUCAGUUGUGAAAGUUUGAGGCUCAACCGUAAAAUUGCAGUUGAAACUGGCAGUCUUGAGUACAGUAGAGGUGAGCGGAAUUCGUGGUGUAGCGGUGAAAUGCUUAGAUAUCACGAAGAACGCCGAUUGCGAAGGCAGCUUACUGGACUGCAACUGACACUGAGGCUCGAAAGUGUGGGUAUCAAACAGGAUUAGAUACCCGAGUAGUC